GGCGUAAGCGCGCGCAGGCGGUCCUUUAAGUCUGAUGUGAAAGCCCACGGCUCAACCGUGGAGGGUCAUUGGAAACUGGGGGACUUGAGUGCAGAAGAGGAGAGUGGAAUUCCACGUGUAGCGGUGAAAUGCGUAGAGAUGUGGAGGAACACCAGUGGCGAAGGCGACUCUCUGGUCUGUAACUGACGCUGAGGCGCGAAAGCGUGGGGAGCGAACAGGAUUAGAUACCCUGGUAGUCCACGCCGUAAACGAUGAGUGCUAAGUGUUAGAGGGUUUCCGCCCUUUAGUGCUGCAGCAAACGCAUUAAGCACUCCGCCUGGGGAGUACGGCCGCAAGGCUGAAACUCAAAGGAAUUGACGGGGGCCCGCACAAGCGGUGGAGCAUGUGGUUUAAUUCGAAGCAACGCGAAGAACCUUACCAGGUCUUGACAUCCUCUGACAACCCUAGAGAUAGGGCGUUCCCCUUCGGGGGACAGAGUGACAGGUGGUGCAUGGUUGUCGUCAGCUCGUGUCGUGAGAUGUUGGGUUAAGUCACGCAACGAGCGCAACCCUUGAUCUUAGUUGCCAGCAUUCAGUUGGGCACUCUAAGGUGACUGCGGGUGACAAACCGGAGGAGGGUGGGGAUGACG
RNAcentral lists this ribosomal RNA (628 nucleotides) under Mesobacillus foraminis. RNAcentral describes it as "bacterial SSU rRNA". It matches the Rfam family "Bacterial small subunit ribosomal RNA", at positions 557 to 1184 of the family's 1533-position model. Lineage: Bacteria; Bacillati; Bacillota; Bacilli; Caryophanales; Bacillaceae. The record is from RNAcentral.